RNAcentral lists this ribosomal RNA (490 nucleotides) under uncultured bacterium. RNAcentral's name for it is "partial 16S ribosomal RNA". It matches the Rfam family "Bacterial small subunit ribosomal RNA", at positions 30 to 507 of the family's 1533-position model. The record is from RNAcentral.
AUUGAACGCUGGCGGCAGGCCUAACACAUGCAAGUCGAACGGUAACAGGAAGCAGCUUGCUGCUUCGCUGACGAGUGGCGGACGGGUGAGUAAUGUCUGGGAAGCUGCCUGAUGGAGGGGGAUAACUACUGGAAACGGUAGCUAAUACCGCAUAAUGUCGCAAGACCAAAGAGGGGGACCUUCGGGCCUCUUGCCAUCGGAUGUGCCCAGAUGGGAUUAGCUUGUGGGUGGGGUAACGGCUCACCAAGGCGACGAUCCCUAGCUGGUCUGAGAGGAUGACCAGCCACACUGGAACUGAGACACGGUCCAGACUCCUACGGGAGGCAGCAGUGGGGAAUAUUGCACAAAGGGCGCAAGCCUGAUGCAGCCAUGCCGCGUGUAUGAAGAAGGCCUUCGGGUUGUAAAGUACUUUCAGCGGGGAGGAAGGGAGUAAAGUUAAUACCUUUGCUCAUUGACGUUACCCGCAGAAGAAGCACCGGCUAACUCCGUG